RNAcentral lists this long non-coding RNA (675 nucleotides) under Gallus gallus (chicken). RNAcentral describes it as "lncRNA (ENSGALG00010015116.1)". The record is from RNAcentral. Lineage: Eukaryota; Metazoa; Chordata; Aves; Galliformes; Phasianidae.
CUCUGAGUUACCCACAACAGGAAAAACACCAUCACAAUACAACCUUUCUUUCCAGAUCCUCUGCUGUCCCUGGAUACCACGAGAGUCCAUUUCAGCCACAGUAGGAACAAAGACAUUUAUUUUGAUUUAUGGCUUCCUAUCUGCUCCCCCUUAGCCACAAGAUGCUGAUCUCCAAACAGACACAUCAUCUUUGCAUAUCUCUGCUCCCCAACCAGACAGUGACCUAUCUCAGAAGUCAAACUGAGAUCAAAUGUUACUUUCCAGUUCGUGUGUAAAAAAACAUUGAAUCACAAGAGGAACUAGAGGAAAAAGAUGUCCAUUCUGCAUACUGCUGUGUUCACAUCACCAGGGAUUUCACUGGGCAGCCAUGAUUUUUCACUUCUCCAGUUGCUUCAUAACAAGGCUACGUGUGCAUGAUUUACAUGAUCUUUUGGCUUCCAGCAGACUCUUCAGAUCCCCUCCAGAUGGAUGGAGUUUUUCAACAGUCUGCAUAGCCCUCGUGGGAAGUAUGUGUGAAUAUGGGCUGAUCCCAUGGGAGAAGCUGGCAUCAGAAGAAAAACUUCAUUAUGAAUUGGUGCCAUGCCAUCCUCAGAUGCUUGGCUAGGAAUAAAAGUGUGUGCAAGCUGCAGGAGAAAAGCAACUACUUGCUGGAGCAUGGAGAGGAGGGUGCUGGAG